GCCAGGCGUAGUGGUGUGUGCCUAUAGUCCCAGCUACUUAGGAGGCUGAGGCAGAAGGAUCACUUGAGCCCAGGAGAUUGAGGCUGCAGUGAGCCAUGAUUGUACCAUUGCACCCUAGCCUGGGUGACAUAGUGAGAUCCUGUCUCCA
Molecule: non-coding RNA, 148 nt
Filed under: Gorilla gorilla gorilla (western lowland gorilla)
Lineage: Eukaryota; Metazoa; Chordata; Mammalia; Primates; Hominidae
Source: Rfam by way of RNAcentral